GGGGGCGUAGCUCAGUUGGGAGAGCACCUGCUUUGCACGCAGGGGGUCAGCGGUUCGAGUCCGCUCGUCUCCA
This 73-nucleotide transfer RNA is filed under the name Alphaproteobacteria bacterium. Its description in RNAcentral is "tRNA-Ala". It matches the Rfam family "tRNA". Rfam says of the family: Transfer RNA (tRNA) molecules are approximately 80 nucleotides in length. Their secondary structure includes four short double-helical elements and three loops (D, anti-codon, and T loops). Further hydrogen bonds mediate the characteristic L-shaped molecular structure. tRNAs have two regions of fundamental functional importance: the anti-codon, which is responsible for specific mRNA codon recognition, and the 3' end, to which the tRNAs corresponding amino acid is attached (by aminoacyl-tRNA synthetases). tRNAs cope with the degeneracy of the genetic code in two manners: having more than one tRNA (with a specific anti-codon) for a particular amino acid; and 'wobble' base-pairing, i.e. permitting non-standard base-pairing at the 3rd anti-codon position. Lineage: Bacteria; Pseudomonadati; Pseudomonadota; Alphaproteobacteria. The record is from RNAcentral.